GACGAACGCUGGCGGCGUGCCUAAUACAUGCAAGUAGAACGCAGUUGCGAACGGGUGAGUAAGGCGUAGGUAACUGCCUCAUAGCGGGGGAUAACUAUUGGAAACGAUAGCUAACACCGCAUACUGUGAGAUGGACCUGCGUUGUAUAGGCUAGUUGGUGAGGUAAAGGGUCACCAAGGCGACGAUACAUCGCCGACCUGAGAGGGUGUUCGGCGAAACAGGGGCUAAGCCAAGACCCAGACUCCUACAGUAGGCAGCAGUAAGGGAUCUGCGGCAAUGGACCGAAGUCUGACCAGACAACGCCUCGUGAGUGAAGAAGGUUUGCGGGACGGAAAUCUCUGUUGUUAGAGAAGCGGUAACUAACCAGAAGGGGACGGCUAACUACGUGCCAGCAGCCGCGGUAAUAG
This 407-nucleotide ribosomal RNA is filed under the name uncultured bacterium. RNAcentral's name for it is "partial 16S ribosomal RNA". It matches the Rfam family "Bacterial small subunit ribosomal RNA", at positions 28 to 526 of the family's 1533-position model. The record is from RNAcentral.